ACCCAAUGGCUAGUCGCAGAGUCUAACUAUUUUCUCGGCCAAUGUCUGGAGAAGUUUUCAAAUAUUCGCUUCUUUCCAAAAUAAAUCAAAUGAAAAGUCGGGAUUUGGUUUUAUUUUAUUAUAUUUUUCCAUUUCAAUAUCUGUUUCACAUCCGCUCUUUAAUAUCUAUUUGUCGGCUAUUUUGCAUCGGGAAAACUCGGAAAAGUCGUGUUUAUCAACAUAGCUUUUCCUGUUACCUGACUUUAAAGUUCGUACACACGAGAACUAGAGUUUUGCAGCUCAUCUUUAGCUGGAGGUCCUUGACGGCACUGUAAUUGCGCUGAAUGGCGUGCUUUAUGUGUUUUUCAAUACGCACAACAUUUAAAUGAAAACUAAGGAAAAACGAGUGACAUUUUAUCAGCUGCCACAAGCAGCACAAUGUUGUUAAAGGACAUGCACUGGAGAACAUGAAGAAGCAACAACAACAAGAGCAACAACAACAACAGCAACGAUGAGGACAACAUGAAUGCAAAACGUCGUCGGCAUUCGGUUGUGUAAACAUUUUAAUUUCUGCUGCAAACAAAUGCGCAGCAGCCGCAGUCUUAGCAGCAGCAUGAGAACGCCUACCCUGCGUGCAUGUGGACCAUGGUCAUCCAAUCCCACUGCAUUGUCUCUAUUUCUACCUCUCUCUGUGUGUGCGUGUGUUUGGGAGCCAUGAAGGCGGACAUCAAGACGAUGAUUUCAGUUAUGUGGACUGUGGCUAACCGUAUUUGAAUUUCCAGUUUCAAUUUCAAUGCUUCCGCAAAGACAUUGCCAACUAGCAGUCGGAAAAGCCAUAAAAGAGUUGUGAUAGGCAAUUCGAAAAUUAUGCAUUCACAGGUAAGCUUGAGAAUCCCAGAGAAGGUUUGUACUCAAAGCGAAAUUGCUAACGCAAAAAGUUUCGUUAGCUUUAAAAAGACAGUUUUAUGUUCAUUGAAAUUAUUCUUGCUUUAGUAUUUGAGAAUCGCAGAGAGGGGCCCAGAAAUACAACGAUAUGCUGCACAAA
Molecule: long non-coding RNA, 1024 nt
Organism: Drosophila montana
Lineage: Eukaryota; Metazoa; Arthropoda; Insecta; Diptera; Drosophilidae
Exons: 2
Source: RefSeq, a predicted model, not a curated record